GGAGCCAGCCGCCGAAGGUGGGACAGAUAAUUGGGGUGAAGUCGUAACAAGGUAGCCGUAUCGGAAGGUGCGGCUGGAUCACCUCCUUUCUAAGGAA
Molecule: ribosomal RNA, 97 nt
Filed under: Listeria monocytogenes
Lineage: Bacteria; Bacillati; Bacillota; Bacilli; Caryophanales; Listeriaceae
Description: partial 16S ribosomal RNA
Rfam family: Bacterial small subunit ribosomal RNA
Source: RNAcentral